GGGCGGUGCGCGAUCGAGACAUUAUGAAUUAUGACUGGAGUUGUAGCUGGCCCUUAAAAACGGCAUGUGCACGCUCCUUUCACUAAUCCACACACACCUGUGCACCUUCGCGGGGGUCUUCUUUUCGGAGAAGGCUCGCGUCCCUUUACACACCCUUUGUAUGUCUUAAGAAUGUCUACUCGAUGUAAUAAAACGCAUCUAAUACAACUUUCAACAACGGAUCUCUUGGCUCUCGCAUCGAUGAAGAACGCAGCGAAAUGCGAUAAGUAAUGUGAAUUGCAGAAUUCAGUGAAUCAUCGAAUCUUUGAACGCACCUUGCGCCCUUUGGUAUUCCGAAGGGCACACCUGUUUGAGUGUCGUGAAAUUCUCAACCCUCUUCAUUUUUUAUGAAUGAAGCAGUGGCUUGGACUUGGAGGUUUUUUGCCGUGCCUCACCGCUCGGCUCCUCUCAAAUGCAUUAGUGCGUCUUGUUGCGACGUGCGCCUCGGUGUGAUAAUUAUCUACGCUGUGGUGCGCUUGCUUCUGUGGAGACGCGCUUUCUAACCGUCCGAAAGGACAGCUUUCAUCGAACUUUGACCUCAAAUCAGGUGGGACUACCCGCUGAACUUAAGCAUAUCAUAAAGCGGAAGGAAACC
RNAcentral lists this ribosomal RNA (634 nucleotides) under Stereum complicatum. RNAcentral describes it as "eukaryotic LSU rRNA". The stretch from base 206 to 359 matches the Rfam family "5.8S ribosomal RNA". The record is from RNAcentral. Lineage: Eukaryota; Fungi; Basidiomycota; Agaricomycetes; Russulales; Stereaceae.